This 425-nucleotide ribosomal RNA is filed under the name uncultured bacterium. RNAcentral's name for it is "partial 16S ribosomal RNA". The record is from RNAcentral.
GGUAUCUAAUCCUGUUCGCUCCCCACGCUUUUGAGCCUCAGCGUCAGAAACAGCCUAGAAAACCGCCUUCGCCUCUGGUGUUCCUCCCGGUAUCUACGCAUAUCACCACUACACCGGGAAUUCCGUUUUCCCCUGCUGCACUCUAGCCCAUCAGUAUCGAAUGACUCCUCCCAGUUGAGCCGGGAGAUUUCACAUCCGACUUGACAAACCGCCUACGCUCUCUUUACGCCCAAUAAAUCCGGAUAACGCUCGCCUCCUACGUAUUACCGCGGCUGCUGGCACGUAGUUAGCCGAGACUUAUUCCCCAGGUACCGUCAUUUUUUUCUUCCCUGAGAAAAGAGGUUUACGACCCGAAGGCCUUCAUCCCUCACGCGGCGUUGCUGGGUCAGGCUUUCGCCCAUUGCCCAAAAUUCCUUGCUGCUGCC